GCACCUUUCGGGGUGAGUGGCAGACGGGUGAGUAACGCGUGGGAACGUGCCCUUCAGUUCGGAAUAACCCAGGGAAACUUGGGCUAAUACCGGAUACGUGCGAGAGCAGAAAGAUUUAUCGCUGAAGGAUCGGCCCGCGUCUGAUUAGCUAGUUGGUAGGGUAAUGGCCUACCAAGGCGACGAUCAGUAGCUGGUCUGAGAGGAUGAUCAGCCACAUUGGGACUGAGACACGGCCCAAACUCCUACGGGAGGCAGCAGUGGGGAAUAUUGGACAAUGGGCGCAAGCCUGAUCCAGCCAUGCCGCGUGAGUGAUGAAGGCCUUAGGGUUGUAAAGCUCUUUCGGCGGGGACGAUAAUGACGGUACCCGCAGAAGAAGCCCCGGCUAACUUCGUGCCAGCAGCCGCGGUAAUACGAAGGGGGCUAGCGUUGUUCGGAAUCACUGGGCGUAAAGGGCGCGUAGGCGGCCAAUCAAGUCGGGGGUGAAAGCCUGUGGCUCAACCACAGAAUUGCCUUCGAUACUGUUUGGCUCGAGACCGGAAGAGGUAAGUGGAACUGCGAGUGUAGAGGUGAAAUUCGUAGAUAUUCGCAAGAACACCAGUGGCGAAGGCGGCUUACUGGUCCGGUUCUGACGCUGAGGCGCGAAAGCGUGGGGAGCAAACAGGAUUAGAUACCCUGGUAGUCCACGCCGUAAACGAUGAAUGCCAGCCGUUGGGCAGCUUGCUGCUCAGUGGCGCAGCUAACGCUUUAAGCAUUCCGCCUGGGGAGUACGGUCGC
This 774-nucleotide ribosomal RNA is filed under the name Microvirga sp. RNAcentral's name for it is "bacterial SSU rRNA". It matches the Rfam family "Bacterial small subunit ribosomal RNA", at positions 73 to 889 of the family's 1533-position model. Lineage: Bacteria; Pseudomonadati; Pseudomonadota; Alphaproteobacteria; Hyphomicrobiales; Methylobacteriaceae. The record is from RNAcentral.